This 218-nucleotide ribosomal RNA is filed under the name Symphurus civitatium (offshore tonguefish). Its description in RNAcentral is "partial small subunit ribosomal RNA". The record is from RNAcentral. Lineage: Eukaryota; Metazoa; Chordata; Actinopteri; Pleuronectiformes; Cynoglossidae.
GUCGGUAAAACUCGUGCCAGCCACCGCGGUUAUACGAGCAGCUCAAGUUGAUGAUGCGCGGCGUAAAGCGUGGUUAAGAAGAAAUUGUAAGUAAAGUCGAACACUUUCAAGGCCGUCAGAGGCGUCCGAAAAGUUGAAGCCCGAUUACAAAAGUAACUUUAUUACCCCUGACCCCACGAAAGCUGGCGAAACAAACUGGGAUUAGAUACCCCACUAUG